Molecule: ribosomal RNA, 510 nt
Filed under: uncultured fungus
Lineage: Eukaryota; Fungi
Description: SSU rRNA
Rfam family: Eukaryotic small subunit ribosomal RNA
Source: RNAcentral
CGCAGCCGCGGUAAUUCCAGCUCCAAUAGCGUAUAUUAAAGUUGUUGCAGUUAAAAAGCUCGUAGUUGAAUUUCGGAAUCUGUCCGUUGGUCGGGCUUCAUUGUCCGUACUGGUGUGAUGGGUUCUUACCUUCUGAAUAACCAGCAUGCCAUUCAUUUGGUGCGUUGGGGAAGCAGGACUAUUACCUUGAAAAAAUUAGAGUGCUCAAAGCAGGCUAGUGCCUGAAUACAUUAGCAUGGAAUAAUAAAAUAGGACGGCAUGGUUCUAUUUUGUUGGUUUCUAGGAUCACCGUAAUGAUUAAUAGGGAUAGUUGGGGGCAUUAGUAUUCAAUUGUCAGAGGUGAAAUUCUUGGAUUUAUUGAAGACUAACUUCUGCGAAAGCAUUUGCCAAGGAUGUUUUCAUUAAUCAAGAACGAAAGUUAGGGGAUCGAAGACGAUCAGAUACCGUCGUAGUCUUAACCAUAGACUAUGCCGACUAGGGAUCGGACGAUGUUAAUUUUUUAAUGACUCG